Non-coding RNA from Felis catus (domestic cat), 85 nucleotides. The record is from Rfam. Lineage: Eukaryota; Metazoa; Chordata; Mammalia; Carnivora; Felidae.
GCCUGGGUGGCCCAGUCGGUUAAGCGUCCGACUUCAACUCAGGUCAUGAUCUCGCGGUUCGGGGGUUCAAGUCCCACAUCAGGCU